This 308-nucleotide unclassified non-coding RNA is filed under the name Hevea brasiliensis (rubber tree). Lineage: Eukaryota; Viridiplantae; Streptophyta; Magnoliopsida; Malpighiales; Euphorbiaceae. The record is from RNAcentral.
CAAACUCCCCUUUUUUUUUUUUUUAUCAGGCCACCAAACUCUCUAUUGAACCCCUUCCCAUUCUCCUCCGGCUCGAACUCUCCGCUGGGUCCGUUGAAGGGCUGAUGCGAAUCGAAAACUUCAUCUCCGCCAGAGAAAGAGUCGAAUUGCUGUGAGUUGUAGUCGACCUAGCCACCGUUGUCUUCGUCUAAGGGGCGAGUUGACUCAGACCGAGGGACUGAGUCGUCGAACGAAUCGCCAAGAGUAUCCAUUGUUUCUGUGCCUUUUUUGUACGGACAAUCAUAAAAGCGAUGUGUUUGGGGGGCGUG